UCCCCAUUAACUGAGGCAGUUUUCUGUGAGAAAUACAACACAGAAUGCGGGUUGCGCUCGUUGACCGACUGAACGGGACACUUCACAGCACGAGCUGACGACAACCGUGCAACACCUGUCACCUGGUUCCUUGCGGCACGGUCCUGUUUCCAGGACUUUCCAGGGAUGUCAAACCUCGGUAAGGUUCUUCGCUUAAUGACGAAUUAAACCCCACGCUCCACCACUUGUGCAGGUCCCCGUCAAUUCCUUUGAGUUUUAAACUUGCGUUCGUACUCCCCAGGCGGCUCACUUAACGCGUUAGCUACGGUCCAAAAGGGGGUCGAUACCCUCCAAGACCUAGUGAGCAUCGUUUACGGCGUGGACUAC
This 366-nucleotide unclassified non-coding RNA is filed under the name uncultured bacterium. RNAcentral's name for it is "contains 16S-23S intergenic spacer region". The record is from RNAcentral.